Molecule: long non-coding RNA, 4028 nt
Organism: Pan paniscus (pygmy chimpanzee)
Lineage: Eukaryota; Metazoa; Chordata; Mammalia; Primates; Hominidae
Source: Ensembl
GAACUGGACCAAGGGAAGAGGACACAGAAGGUAAAAGGAAGCCAGACCAGCAUGUUCUCCCACUCUAGUCCUCCUACCAAGAGGCUUUGAUAAGCAAUCACAAUUGUCCCCAGUGACAUGAAAGAAAAAGUGAAGCAUCCUGUAGGGAUGCAUAGCAUGACAUCUACAUAGACUUGGGUCAUGGAAGGAAACUGUCACCACAUACAAGUUCAAGGGAAAUGUUCAGCCUCCAGGUGUGGAGCAUGUACAGGAAUGAAGCUGCUCACCCAGGACUUAUGCUUUGCACCUUUGUGCUCCUCACAUAUGGCCAUGUGCCCGUCCCCCCGUCCCCCACCCCACCAAUGGCAUCUGUGCAGAGUGAUAUGCGCCACUUCCAGGCUGGAUAUUUACACUGUGGUUACCUUCUGUCCCUUUUCUCUGCAUCAGCCACUGAAUGAAGCUCUGCCCAGGCCUUAGGAAAAGGUGAAACCCCAACUGGCAGGGGCCCCAGUUCACCAUAUCCAGGAAGGUGUCCUUGAACCAGAAAUACCCACGUUGUACUCCGACAUGAACAAGAAAUAGAUUUCUAUUAUAUUAAGCAACAGAAAAUUUCAGAUAUAUUAGUUCUCGCAGCAGGAAGGAUGUAUUGAUAAUGGCAACAUGGAUGGAGCUCAAAACAUAACAUCUAAUGAAAAAAGAGACUUACAUAAAAAAUUAUAGACUAUAUUAUUACAUUCAAAUGAAGUUCAAGAACAAGCAAAAGUUGUGGAAAAAUAUCAGAAAACUUGCUUCCACUGGAGGGGUAGGACGGGAUUUGACUGGGAAGAGGCCUAGGGGAACAUGCUGGAAUGAUAUUAGUGUUCUAUUUCUUGAUGGAGGUUUGGGUUCCACAGGUGUAUGUAUUUGCAAAAGUUAGCAAAUGUAGAGUUAAGGUUUGUGUUCUUCCUUGUGCAAUACAUUUUACACCAAAGGGAAGGCUGUAAACAAAUAUUGAACUGUAGUUAAUCAUAUGUAUGGAGAAAAACUUAAGGAAAAGACUUAUGAAUGCCUCAAGUUUAUUUUAAAAAGCAUUGAAAAUAAGAUUAAACAUGUAUUUAUGGAUAAACUACUGAAACUGAGAGAUAUUAACAGUAAAUAGUCAAAAUUUUCACCGUAAUAAUGAAAUUGAAAGGGAUUUGAACCCAGGUCUGUUUCACUGUAAAUCCUUGCUCCUGUGCUCUCUCAUGUUUAUUGGAAUUCAUGGGUAGAAAAUUUAAAUGCUCUGAAUCACUAUGAGAAGAAAGAUUCAGGAAAAAAAAAAUGAAAGGCUAGAUUUCCAAAGAUAAGCCAGGUAAAUAUCAUGGAGAGUUGCAACAAUGUACUGCUAAUUAACUCUAAUACUUAGAGCUAAUGUCGAGUUUUCUGAGGGUUGUGACAUUCAUACAUGACUAAUUAACCUACACAGCAAAUCCAUUUCACUAGCUGCCAUGACACAGCCAAUCAAGACUAGCUCACUGUUUGCUCAUUUGGAAAAUGAUGAGGAUUCCCAUUUAGACUUAAUUACACUACAAAGAUUGACAAUUAUCUUCUCUAUAGAAGCAUCAGAUGUUUCAAUAUUAUACUGAACAUGUGCCUAUAAUUAUGUCCAUAAUUUGUCUAGCAGAAAAUGUAACCCAGUCAUUACUGAGAUCUUAUGCCUGUAAUUAGAUAUCGAAAAAAAAUACCAAAUGGGAAAAGUGGGUUGUUGGGAUGUUAGGACCAUUACAAUGUGAGAAUCUGUAUGAAGCUAUUAGUGGGAACUCAGUAGCAACCAACAUCUCUUGGAUUGCUGCCCUCUAUUAAAAAUAAUUACGAAGUGUGAGAGAGGGGAAAAUGAUGGCAGAGUAAAACCAUAGUACAAUCGCUUUUCCAAAACUUGACUGCAGUCAUUAAAAAUCCCAUAGGCACCUCAAAUUCAACACAUUUGAAACCGACUCAUUAGCCACCUUUGCCCCACUAUAGCUACUCCUUUUCCUGUGUUUGCUGUCUUAGACGAUUGCAAAGCAUUGUAGAGUCAUCUGCAACAAUUGUUCUCUCACUCCUUUCUCCUAAUCAAACCUCCGUGAUUCUGAUUACUAAUUUUUUCCAAGUGUGUUGCUCCUCUCUAUGCUGUGACUCUUCCAUUGUCUGCCUUCAUCAUCCUUGUAUGGUCAAUUUCAAGAGGACGUAUAAGAACGGUGCUGCAUCUGAAUGUUCACUCAUAAGUGGGAGUUGAACAAUGAGAACACAUGGACACAGGGAGGGGAACAUCACACACUGGGGCCAAGCAGAGGGAGAGCAUUAGGACAAAUACCUAAUGCAUGUGGGGCUUAAAACCUAGAUGACGGGUUGAUGGGUACAGCAAACCACUAUGGCACAUGUAUACCUAUCUAACAAGCCUGCAUGUUCUGCACGUGUAUUCCAGAACUUAAAGUAUAAUAAUAAUAAAAGAAGAAUGGUGCCGCUUUCCUCAAAUGUCUCCACCGUGUCACUUAUCUUCUGAAUUUCUCCCAGUAUGAUCAUCUCUAAUCACAAAUCUCACUAUGCCACUCUGCCAUUCAGAAGAGUUGAGUGUGUCCACCUCUUUCCUAACAGCAUUUGGCAGAACACAGAAAGUAUGUUUUGUUUUUCAUUGAAUUUUGUGCCAGCUUCACGCUGGCCUGCCCCAGUCUGUAAUUUAGGCUAGCUCCAUUAUAUGGUUUACUAAUUAUGUAAUGUGAUAUGCUCAUUAUUUCAGUUAUCUCUUGCAGGACAACUGGCUACCCCAAAAUUUAAUAGCUAAAAGCAAUCAUUUUUAUUUUGCUAAUGAUUUUUUGGGGUAAGGAAUGUAGAAAUGGCUCCAAAGGGUGGUCGUUUCUGAUCGAUAUUGCAUCAGCUGGGGUGGAAGAAUCUUCUUCAAAAUAGCUUCUUUACUCACAUCUGGUGCCUUAGGGCUUCUUGACCUCUCUCUCUCUUCAUGUGGCUUCUCAUCCUCCAGGCUUUCUUCACUUGGCUUACCUUCUUGCAGUAAGGGUAUCUAAAAGAAGUCUCACUUUUUACACGGAAGCUAGAUUCCAAGAGGCAGGCAGUAGAAACUGCCCAGCUAGCUAAAGGCUAUAACAGAAAAAGGCAUGGCAACACUUCUACCAUAGUCUAUUAGUGAAGGCAGUUCCCAAGACCCUCAGAUUUAAGAGCACAGAGAAAUAGAUCCCAAUUCUAGAUGGGAAAAUGUCCAGGUCACGUUGAAGAAGAGCACAUAGGGCAAGAGACACUGUUGCACCCGUAUUUGCAAAAGUAAAUCUAUAUGCAUGCUAUUUCAUUCUUCUAAAAUACUGAGUGGCUGUAGCUCUCAACGCUAAUCGCUCUGUCUAUCCUACUCAAAUGCACUUCGGAGCAAUUGCUCAACUUUGCACAUUCUCUAUGCAACCUCUCUCCAAAAUGCCCCUACAAUACUUAGUGUAAUCUCUUUUAUGUUAGAGUGGAACACCAUUGUCUAUUUACUGACAUAUUUAUCUCUCCCGCCAGAAUAUAAGGAUAAGCUCAUGUCUUAUUUACUUUAGAAUACCUUUUGUGUAACACAGAUGCUGGUAUAUAGUAGAUAUUAAAUACAUGUUCUGUUGAUCACAAGACUAAUAAAAGGAAUAAAUAAAUUGUCCUAUUCGUACAUGUAUUAUCUAUGCCUGGUGUACUUCCUGGAACAAGUUUAGUACCUGGUGAUUAUCAGCUUCCAAGAUGGCCCUCAAAAGUCUCCACCUCCUGAAUUCACACUCUUUGUAGUUCCUUCCUGCAUUGUGCCAGAGUUGGUCAAUGUGACCAACAGGAUAUAGUAGAAGGGAUGGUAUUAUGCUAUAAAAGACAUUCAAUUUUUAUCUCUUUCUCUCUCAUAAUUCACCCUGAGAGAAACCAGCUGCCUUGUUGCAAGCAGUCCUACGGAGAGGCCCAUAUAGUGAGAAACUGAGGCCUUCUGCCAACAGCCAGAGGAGGGAGCUUGCAACCAGACCCUCCAGCCCCAGCUAAGCUUCAGGUGACUGUCCAGGCAACGGCUUGAGUAAAACCUCACAAGACGUCCAGAG